RNAcentral lists this ribosomal RNA (394 nucleotides) under Lindneromyia argentifascia. Its description in RNAcentral is "partial 12S ribosomal RNA". The record is from RNAcentral. Lineage: Eukaryota; Metazoa; Arthropoda; Insecta; Diptera; Platypezidae.
AGCGACGGGCGAUGUGUACAUAUUUUAGAGCUAUAAUCAAAUUAAUGAUCUUUUUAAUUUUACUAUCAAAUCCAAUUUCAAUAAAAUAUUUCAAUUUUAUAUCCAAAAAAUAAAUUUAUUGUAACUCAUUAUUACUUAAAUAUAAACUACACCUUGAUUUGAUAUAUAUUAUAAUUUUAAUUAUUGAAAAUUAUUAUUCUUAUAAAAUAUUCUAUAACAACGGUAUAUAAAUUGAUAAACAAAUUUAAGUGAGGUACAUCGCGGAUUAUCGAUUACAAAACAAGUUCCUCUGAAUAGACUAAAAUACCGCCAAAUUUUUUAAGUUUAAAGAACAUAACUAUUAAUACUCAAGUAUUUAUAAAUUACAUUUUAAAUAAUAGGGUAUCUAAUCCUA